UUGAUAGGUUGAACUAGAUUGACCAUAACUUUUUUCUCCGAUAGUCAAAUUGGAUGAAACCAAUUUCAUUAGAAAGAGGACUCGCAGAGAUUUCCGUUGAUAUAUAGUAGAUCACCCAGAUCAUUAUGUACAAGGAGUUAUGAUCAUUUGAAGUUGAUCCUGAAAUUCGCCUGGCUGCAGUAAUUUUAAUUUCCUGCAUGUUUUACUGUUCACAGUUCGAUCGGAAU
This 227-nucleotide long non-coding RNA is filed under the name Capsicum annuum. Its description in RNAcentral is "long non-coding RNA (CANN_LNC019447)". Lineage: Eukaryota; Viridiplantae; Streptophyta; Magnoliopsida; Solanales; Solanaceae. The record is from RNAcentral.